UACAGAGGUCCCGAGCGUUGUUCGGAUUCACUGGGCGUAAAGGGUGCGUAGGUGGUCGGGUAAGUCUGAUGUGAAAUCUCUGGGCUCAACCCAGAAAUGGCAUUGGAUACUAUCCGGCUUGAGGAGUGGAGGGGGGACUGGAAUACUUGGUGUAGCAGUGAAAUGCGUAGAUAUCAAGUGGAACACCAGUGGCGAAGGCGAGUCCCUGGACACUUCCUGACACUGAGGCACGAAAGCUAGGGGAGCAAACAGG
Molecule: ribosomal RNA, 253 nt
Filed under: uncultured bacterium
Lineage: Bacteria
Description: partial 16S ribosomal RNA
Rfam family: Bacterial small subunit ribosomal RNA
Source: RNAcentral